Long non-coding RNA from Arabidopsis lyrata subsp. lyrata, 1417 nucleotides. RefSeq lists it as uncharacterized. The record is from RefSeq and is a predicted model, not a curated record. NCBI's taxonomy places the organism in Eukaryota, Viridiplantae, Streptophyta, Magnoliopsida, Brassicales, Brassicaceae. The transcript has 3 exons.
GAACAUCCACGUCACUACACUAUUUUUGGUGGACCCCACAGUAUUAUAUUAAGCAUUUUUUGUCAACGAUUGCAAAUGAAUACGUUCCUUUUCUUCAUAAUGGGCCUACUAAAGCAUUUUUAUAGUUUUAAAUGAAUUCGCUCAUUUUCUUUAUAAUGGACCUACUAAAGAUUCUUAUAUAUGAUUAUUGGGCCUAAGAUCCGUUUCUUCAUGUAUUUCUCUCUACUCUCUAACUCAUCUUCUCGAGACAACUGUUUUCUUCGACGCUGCCGUUGUCGAUAAACUUCACCGACGAGAAGCUCAAACAUCAACACCUAAUCACAACUAAGGUUGUUGGUCGGCUACUUCGUUUUUGGGAUGCUCGCAACAUCAAGAAAGAUGGUCAAUUCAUGGGGAUAGUCCUCCUUUUACUCGAUGAAAAAUGCUCAGUAAUCCAUGCUUUUUGAGUAAUUGAAGCUGAGGUACUUUCAGAUACAAAAGAAAAGAAAAAAGUGUUAAUACCCAGGAUUAUACUAUCACCACAAGAUUCUAAGCAUCCAUUCACUCUAAGGAGGCGUCAGUUUCCGGUACGAAUGUGCUAUGCUAUGACGGUUAAUAAAAGCCAAGGACAAACCUUGAAUAGAGUGGCAUUGUAUCUGCCAAAGCCAGUCUUCAGCCACGGCCAACUAUACGUUGCUUUGUCACGUGUCACAUCGCCUAAAGGUCUCACAGUCCUAGACACAAAAAAAAACCGAAGGAAAGUAUGUGACUAACAUAGUCUACAGAGAAGUAUUUAAUGGUCUACCGUCAAUUACAGGUAAAAGAUUUACACCAUCCGUCAAUCUAAUAUAUGCUUUAUAACACCAAAAAAAACAUCUACUUUUUACAUAUAUUGAUAAGAGCACAAAUUAGUGAGAACUGCUUACUGCCUAGGAAGAAAAAAACUGAAAACUAUUUUCAUACUCUUAUGCAGGUUAAUAUAAAGGUAGAGAAAACUAAGAGACAGCCAGAUUGGAAAUCUGAUUUCCAUACACUUAUGCAGGUAAACACCCAACCAUUAGUUAUCCAAAUCAACAAUAUGGUUUAGUCAACACAAAUAUUCGAACAUGCAAACUAAUCACAGUUUCCAAAAUUCUAAUUUUAUUAGGUGAAGAGCAAGAUUUCCAAGAAAAGAAGUGUAAAACGAGAGACAAAGCAGCACUAAAGCUAACUAUUUUUCUAGGCUUAAACAUUUUCUCCAAUAUGUUUGAAAAGAUUCGUUACAAGUUUAACAACCACUAUUUAUGAAUAUAUCAUCCAUGCAAAAUUAUGCAAGUAUCAACAACAUAAUCCACCCAUCUGCCAUUUAUCCCUGAGUUUUAAUCAACAAAUUUUAACAAACAAAACAUGUAAAACUAAAGUUUGUUAUAUACUUCCCACUAUCACAUAGCUACAAGAU